UAGGGAAUCUUCGGCAAUGGACGGAAGUCUGACCGAGCAACGCCGCGUGAGUGAAGAAGGUUUUCGGAUCGUAAAGCUCUGUUGUUAGAGAAGAACGUUGGUAGGAGUGGAAAAUCUACCAAGUGACGGUAACUAACCAGAAAGGGACGGCUAACUACGUGCCAGCAGCCGCGGUAAUACGUAGGUCCCGAGCGUUGUCCGGAUUUAUUGGGCGUAAAGCGAGCGCAGGCGGUUCUUUAAGUCUGAAGUUAAAGGCAGUGGCUUAACCAUUGUACGCUUUGGAAACUGGAGGACUUGAGUGCAGAAGGGGAGAGUGGAAUUCCAUGUGUAGCGGUGAAAUGCGUAGAUAUAUGGAGGAACACCGGUGGCGAAAGCGGCUCUCUGGUCUGUAACUGACGCUGAGGCUCGAAAGCGUGGGGAGCAAACAGGAUUAGAUACCCUGGUAGUCCACGCCGUAAACGAUGAGUGCUAGGUGUUAGGCCCUUUCCGGGGCUUAGUGCCGCAGCUAACGCAUUAAGCACUCCGCCUGGGGAGUACGACCGCAAGGUUGA
This 551-nucleotide ribosomal RNA is filed under the name uncultured bacterium. RNAcentral's name for it is "bacterial SSU rRNA". It matches the Rfam family "Bacterial small subunit ribosomal RNA", at positions 355 to 897 of the family's 1533-position model. The record is from RNAcentral.